RNAcentral lists this ribosomal RNA (489 nucleotides) under uncultured Alphaproteobacteria bacterium. Its description in RNAcentral is "bacterial SSU rRNA". It matches the Rfam family "Bacterial small subunit ribosomal RNA", at positions 38 to 573 of the family's 1533-position model. The record is from RNAcentral. Lineage: Bacteria; Pseudomonadati; Pseudomonadota; Alphaproteobacteria.
GGCGGCAUGCCUAACACAUGCAAGUCGAACGAGACCUUCGGGUCUAGUGGCGCACGGGUGCGUAACGCGUGGGAAUCUGCCCUGGGGUACGGAAUAACAGUGAGAAAUUACUGCUAAUACCGUAUGAUGACGUAAGUCCAAAGAUUUAUCGCCCUGGGAUGAGCCCGCGUAGGAUUAGCUAGUUGGUGGGGUAAAGGCCUACCAAGGCGACGAUCCUUAGCUGGUCUGAGAGGAUGAUCAGCCACACUGGGACUGAGACACGGCCCAGACUCCUACGGGAGGCAGCAGUGGGGAAUAUUGGACAAUGGGCGAAAGCCUGAUCCAGCAAUGCCGCGUGAGUGAUGAAGGCCUUAGGGUUGUAAAGCUCUUUUACCCGGGAAGAUAAUGACUGUACCGGGAGAAUAAGCCCCGGCUAACUCCGUGCCAGCAGCCGCGGUAAUACGGANGGGGCUAGCGUUGUUCGGAAUUACUGGGCGUAAAGCGCACGUA